UUCACGUUGAUUGGGCCCCAUGUGUAAUUAUCUGAAAUAUUUAUCUGCAUUAUAUCUGAAUUUAAUUAGAACGAUACGAGCGAGUAGGAGUGUCUGUUUGUGGGCGGGGCUUGCUUGAGCAGAGAGGGAGGGGAGAGGAGGAGCUGAGGGGAAAACUGGUUGGGAGGGGUAGAGUUUACAUUCAAGAUUUCUGCAAAAAACUGGCACUUCCUCAGAUCCUGCCUACCCCACCUUUAAAUUUUACAUAAUGUCUCCGUCCUGAGAGCCCUCUGACCUUUUACAUGAGUAUAUAUAUGAAAUUAAGUAAGUAAAUUUAAUUUAUAUAGCACUUUUCAUAGAUAAGAUCACAAAGUGCUUUACAACAAAGGAUAAAAAACGCCAACAUCAGUUGAAAGCCUGUUUAAAAAGAUAAGUGUUAAGUUCUUACUUAAAACUUUCAGAAGACUCUUUGCUACAUAAGGUCAACAGUUUGAGGGCGAUUUAUAGCCUUUUUGUUAAAACACAUGAAAAGAGCAUUAGAUAGAUAGAUAGAUAGAUAGAUAGAUAGAUAGAUUGAUAGAUUGAUAGAUAGAUAGAUAGAUAGAUAGAUAGAUAGACUUUAUUGAUCCCAAACUGGGAAAUUCACAUUACAAUACAAUAGUCAAUGUGACAUUAAACAAAGACAUGAAUUCUCAUCUCCAUAUCCGGUCUUAAAAUCAUGGACCUCAGUUUAGCUAUGUUCCGCAGAUGAUAGAAGCAAUUCUUCACCAACUGUACACAACAAAAAGCAAAACCAGGUAGAGCACACCUUCCGCCCACACACACUCACACCUUCAUAUAAUGUGCAGAUCUGAACAACCGAGGUACAGCACCCCCUACCCCACCCCCCUUCAUUUCUGGUACAUACAUAAAAGGCUGAGGCAGGGACAGCAGCUGCAAAGACCCCUAGAAGACCCCUGAGCAUGGGCGGGGAUUAGUAACAGGACAUAUAACAUUGAGAGAAUCAGGCACGGCUAAUAAAAUGAGGAGCUGGGGUGGAGGGGCUUUGCAAAGUGGUUUGCAGAGAAAGCAUCUCGAGCUAGCAGGCUAAAGUACAGCUGAAUGUUGAUCAAUACAAAUUUUUAGGUUACAUUCUCGGUCGUGUUAUGCUAAGUAACAACGAUACACCACAAACUACAUCAUGGUGGAGAUUAUUUUACUUCUAGAUAUAAGUCUGUCUGCUUCAUCUGUCAGGUUUGGUCAACAUCUCUCAGGAAACUCAAAGAAAACAGCCAUCUCAUAAAGGUCCUCUGUUUUACUAUUUAUACCAUUAUAGGCCUUCAUUUAAUUUGCAGCAGUGCAGUCAGUGCAUCCGCUUAUGCAGAAAUGUGAUAAUAAAAUUUCACAUGCUUCAAGGGGCUGAGGCAAAUUUAAUAUGAAGUGACAUUUCCCUUAGCUGGGACAAUCAUCUGGGUAAAUACCAGAAGAAUAUACUGUACUUUCUAAUGAGUUUUAUCUCCAAAAAGCCAUGUCUGAUACAAAACUAAUCUCUGACUAAUUUCCUCUGAGCACUUCACUUAAUAUGAAACCCUGAAGUUACUGAAUUUAAUUUCUGUCCACAGUUUGAUUAGGAAUGUGUGCGUGUGUUUGAGUUCACUGUUUCUCCAAAGAGAGGUCAUGGCAGGCAAACAAGCCUGAGUGUUGCUGACCUGCUACUAUAUGAAUCACGCAAAUAGAUUUAAUGGGCUUCCCAUCACUCAGGUUUCACUAUUGCUCGUAUUAGUGCUGCCCCUGUGGGAACACUUGCUGGGCAGGGCUUUAGGAGAGGAAGAUGAGUGAGUUCACAGAUUAGGAAGAAAGGAUUUAGGGGAAAAAAAUAUAUAAGUUUUGGACAUUGAUAUGUUAGUAUGAAAAGUGAUUCCCAAUUAUCAAAAAAAACUUUUAAAAUCCAACACAAAUCCUUCAUGCUGCUACUGUUUUCAUUCCAGUUAAACACAUGUAACACUCUCUUAAACAGGAUUACCUAGGAUUUUCACAGGGAUUAGUUUGUUUUACUAAAGCUCCUCAAAGAAGCAAUUUAAGUUUGACUAAAUACAUUCUUGAAAGUAAUUAGAUUACAGACUUCAAGUUGGAUUCAGAGCGAUAUUUUUGACAUUAAAAUUAAAAGGAAAUCUCCCGCCUGAAUGUGCAGUCCCCUUUUAUGUAGAGUCCUGCAUUCUUUGUUCUGAUUUUGCACCCAAUAUUGUUUCAUGAUAACCACCAUAGACUGUGCAUUCUAUGGACAACUUCCAACUCUGCCAGUAUACGGAUUUGAAGCAGAAAAGCUCUCAGUGAUUCUGCGUUUUUUCUCCACUUCUUGAAACCAACAUUGCGCAGUAGCAUUACACAUUUGGCGGGAGAGUCGCUGUGAUGACGCUCGGCUCAAACAGCAUAUCCCCCGGGUGAGCUACGCAAUCUUCGUAUGCCCAUAGGCUGUAUCAGGUGUCAAUCAUAGAAAACAUGAACCCCCUAAUAACUUUUAAAAAUGGAGCUGCACAGAAAAAAAGAGGACUUGAGCACAAACCAGUCUUAGAAUAACUACAUGUCAACAUCACAAGCAAGGGGGGGAAAAAUUUAUAUUCUGCGUAAUAAAUUUCUAAAGUUUGUCCACAGCACAGGAUGGAAAGAGGAGGCGGGAUUUAUGACCUAUACUGCAGCCUGUCACCAGAGGGCGCUGUUCUCGGAGUGGCUUCACCCAGCAAGGAGGCAGACGCUGUCCAUUCUAUACACAGUCUAUGAUCACCACCCCUUUCUGCAAAAACUUUAACAGGCAGCAGACAAGAAAAACUGAUGUAUGCAGUAAAAAGUUGUGAUUUCACCCAAUAGUAAAGCCAUUUUUGCCGCC
This is a non-coding RNA of Xyrichtys novacula (pearly razorfish), 2842 nucleotides long. NCBI's taxonomy places the organism in Eukaryota, Metazoa, Chordata, Actinopteri, Labriformes, Labridae. The record is from the annotation of a GenBank genome assembly.